CGGCGAGUGAAGCGGCAACAGCUCAAAUUUGAAAUCUGGCGUCUUUGGCGUCCGAGUUGUAAUUUGCAGAGGGCGCUUUGGCGUUGGCAGCAGUCUAAGUUCCUUGGAACAGGACGUCACAGAGGGUGAGAAUCCCGUACGUGGUUGCUGGCCUUCGCCGUGUAAAGCCCCUUCGACGAGUCGAGUUGUUUGGGAAUGCAGCUCUAAAUGGGAGGUAAAUUUCUUCUAAAGCUAAAUACUGGCCAGAGACCGAUAGCGCACAAGUAGAGUGAUCGAAAGAUGAAAAGCACUUUGGAAAGAGAGUCAAACAGCACGUGAAAUUGUUAAAAGGGAAGCGCUUGCAGCCAGACUUGCCUGUAGUUGCUCAUCCGGACUUUUGUCCGGUGCACUCUUCUAUAGGCAGGCCAGCAUCAGUUUGGGCGGUUGGAUAAAGGUCUCUGUCAUGUACCUCUCUUCGGGGAGAACUUAUAGGGGAGACGACAUGCAACCAGCCUGGACUGAGGUCCGCGCAUUUGCUAGGAUGCUGGCGUAAUGGCUGUAAGCGGCCCGUCUUGAAACACGGACCAAGGAGUCUAACAUCUAUGCGAGUGUUUGGGUGUCAAGCCCGAACGCGUAAUGAAAGUGAACGGAGGUGGGAACCCCUCGGGGUGCACCAUCGACCGAUCCUGAUGUCUUCGGGGUGAA
Molecule: ribosomal RNA, 684 nt
Filed under: Neoascochyta exitialis
Lineage: Eukaryota; Fungi; Ascomycota; Dothideomycetes; Pleosporales; Didymellaceae
Description: LSU rRNA
Rfam family: Eukaryotic large subunit ribosomal RNA
Source: RNAcentral